Molecule: long non-coding RNA, 1161 nt
Organism: Ahaetulla prasina
Lineage: Eukaryota; Metazoa; Chordata; Lepidosauria; Squamata; Colubridae
Exons: 3
Source: RefSeq, a predicted model, not a curated record
UUUCAUUAUAGAUCAGGAAUUGACACACCAGAAAUGAAAGCUAUCGUGGUUCUCCUUCAGCAUUCAAGUGCCAUCAUUCUUCCUACCAUCCCUGAUAUUCAAAAGUCUAGACAUGGAGGUAAGGAACAAUGCAGGCAAGGCUAGAGAAAACCUUUUAUGUCAACAUAGAUUACAUGCUUUCCAAGGCCAUCAAGGGAAUGACCGAGAGACACUGCUGACUUGUAAAGAACAGUCCAAAUUUAGACCUCUAUGCACACUUUGCAGCAUGCCUACAAGCUACCUUCGAGGAUUCUGACUACCAGCCGUGAAAUCUGUUUCUCUGACAAGAAGGUUGUUUUUUUUUAAAGCAACAACAACAACAACAACAACUGUCCUCCCUAGCUAUGAUUACCAUGGUGAAGUCUCCUGGGGAACAUUCCCUUGUCAACUUCUUUCAUCUCCCUUUGAACUGGAGAAGGAUAACAGCAAGCUACUCGGCCAAAUGUCAUGUGCCAAAGACUAUUUAUCAAUAUCACGUCCGCUUGUGCCUUUAUCCAGGUCAUUUGAUUGAUGCUAAGUAAGUAGAUGGCCGUAUGUACAGAGGGAAAAAUUGAGCUUCUCAAACUGGCUGGAAUAAAAAUAAAUAAAUAAUGCCAGGAAUUGUUCAACCAGCCAUGGGAAUUUCCAUUUCCAUUUAUCACUGGGAAGAACGAGACAGUUCUUAAAAGCCGAUCAGUUCUAUUUUUCUAAUAAUAUCUGUUUGAUUUGCCGUACGGUUUGAUGCAAAAUUUUCUCGUGACGUAUGGCUGUUUUGACUGCCUAUUCUUUUAUGAGAUUAGAUUAAUUGGGUUAUUCCGUUUUUAACUUUAUCAUCACAACUGCCUAGACUAGAGCCUUGGGAAUGUAUAAAUACAUGUAAAAAGUAAUAAAUGCAUUUAAAAAACAACAACAACACACACCCUAAAUUUUAAAACUGAAAACAAGUCCUAUUUUCAUGCUUGCUCCAGUUCUUUAUACUGUACCAGGGGUCUCCAACCUUGGCAACUUUAAGCCUGGAGGACUUCAACUCCCAGAAUUCUCCAGCCAGCUGGCUGGGGCAUUCUGGGUGUUGAAGUCCUUCAGGCUUAAAGUUGCCACGAUUGGAGACCCUUAACUUUAUAUCUUAUUUCAUCUCUAGUCUGG